RNAcentral lists this non-coding RNA (81 nucleotides) under unclassified sequences. RNAcentral describes it as "DUF3800-IX RNA". It matches the Rfam family "DUF3800-IX RNA". From Rfam's summary of the family: Actinobacteria, Firmicutes (1 example), Nitrospirae, Proteobacteria, Verrucomicrobia (1 example). The record is from Rfam by way of RNAcentral.
UCGCCCCCGGCGACAAGGUAGCCAUCUGUGGCUGCCUUUCUCGAUGAGGUUUCUCAUUGGAGAAUAGUCAGGGGUGUUUUA